RNAcentral lists this long non-coding RNA (1051 nucleotides) under Homo sapiens (human). RNAcentral's name for it is "HSALNT0325396". Lineage: Eukaryota; Metazoa; Chordata; Mammalia; Primates; Hominidae. The record is from RNAcentral.
GAAUAAAGCAGACUGCACAGAUGGAACAUGGAAAGGCUUUUAACAGAAAUGAAUACUUUCAGACUAGGUUUGAAGGACUGAGUAGGAGUAAACUAAAAGAGAAAAAGCAGGACAAAAGAAGCACCACUUUGGAAGCUCAAAGCCGCACUGGAAACACAGUCUUUCAGGAUGUCUGAAAGGGGCAAGUCUGUUUGUGUGGGGUAAGAAAUGCGGGGAGACAAACGGACAGUGGACAGAUUGCAGAGAGCUCUGUGUGCUGAGAGGAGGGUGCAGACCAGAUUUUUAAAUUGAGAAUGCAACAGUGAAGGAUUUCAAGCUUGGAGUGAGAGGGGAGACUACGAGCCUGCAGUGAUAAGGCAAAGCUGAAGAUUUCAGAGCCAAGGCCACACCCUACAGUUGCCAUGGAAUGGGGUGGCACAGUGGGCUUUGGAGGUAAAGUCUGCAGUUGAGAAGUUCAAGGGUAGUAAGUACUUAAUGCCAGGUCAAUCAUCCCUUUUAAGACACAGAUAUCAUCUGCAGCGUUUUCAGGAACAGCGAUAGAGAAGAAAAGCGGGCAGCUACUAGAUAUUCAAAUCUUCCACAAAUGUCAGGGAGAGAGUCAGGCAGUUGGUAGAAGAGACCUGUAAAGCUGGGUACCAUAAGCCUCAACACAGGUGUUUUUAUUUCAAGGCUGGGGAGCUGUGCUUUGGAAAAGCAAUGAGGAGGUAACAGGAAGUCUCUUCUCCUUCUAAAUCCUGUGUUCAUGGAGGAGGGUGGGUUUUCUCCUCUUGAGAGGGAGUUACAUACAAGUUUAAGGGAAAAGAGUCUGAAGUUUCCACCUAAAUGAUUCUGAAAGAAUCAGAUAUACAGGGAGUCCACGGAGCCUCCCCUGCAAGCAUCAGUACAGAAGUCGAUGAUAAUCUGGAUGCAAGCCCAGGAGUGUGGAGUCCACUGACUCAGAAGACCUGCAUCUAAGGAAUUGGCUGUUCUUAUCCUUAAGAAUGAUGACUGUGUUUCCAAUUCCAGUAGACCCUUUGAUGCGUUCUGAAUAAAUAUUCCUUUUGGAAUUGAA